UGUACAUCUUCUUAAUGAACUCUAAUUGAUGAAGUCCUUAGGACUAUCUUAAUCGAUAUAGGAGGAUAUAUCGUUUAGUCCUUAAAAUAAGUUUACGAUCAAAUAAUAUGCUAUUACUAGGAUGAUAGCGUUAUUUCGAGUGUAGGUCAUUGUGUGUCAUAUGCAUUGGUUGUUCUCAUAACCAAGAGGUAUGAAGACACUGAUAUGGAUACAAGUGAGAUAUAGAAGUACAUCUCAUUGAACAUGACCAACUGUUGAGCACUCUACUAUCAAGAGUAGCUCGCAAAGGAUAUGAGUAUAAGUAUUUUUCUAACCUG
RNAcentral lists this long non-coding RNA (317 nucleotides) under Elaeis guineensis (African oil palm). RNAcentral's name for it is "long non-coding RNA (EGUI_LNC071062)". The record is from RNAcentral. Lineage: Eukaryota; Viridiplantae; Streptophyta; Magnoliopsida; Arecales; Arecaceae.